GCUCUUCCCUCUUAUGAGUUUGAAUAACUGUCUUAAAUUUAUUUGAGGACAACCAAUCCUUUCUUUUUUCAAUAAUACUUUAGAAGUGAAUUACUGAAACCAACGUUCAUCAUGUGUAUCCCAGCUGUAUUUUGUCCCAGUUGAGAUUCUGAAGCUCACAGGGAGUGUGUGUGAAGAUUUCCCACAAGGAGCAUUUCUGAGACCAUCUAUAGCAGUGAUUGAGGGGUCUAGAGGAAUAAAAGAGCCCUGCAAGUAUAAGAUGAAUUAUAAGAUACUCAAACCCACUUUCAUGAAAGGGGUUGAUACUGGGUCCAAUCUUGUUCAAUAUCUUCAACAAUCACCUGGAUGAAGUGAUAGAGUCCACCCUCAGCAAGUUUGCUGAUGAU
RNAcentral lists this long non-coding RNA (386 nucleotides) under Gallus gallus (chicken). Its description in RNAcentral is "lncRNA (ENSGALG00010019995.1)". The record is from RNAcentral. Lineage: Eukaryota; Metazoa; Chordata; Aves; Galliformes; Phasianidae.